RNAcentral lists this ribosomal RNA (58 nucleotides) under Chloroflexota bacterium. RNAcentral describes it as "Chloroflexi bacterium partial 23S ribosomal RNA". The record is from RNAcentral. Lineage: Bacteria; Bacillati; Chloroflexota.
GAACAAGCUAGACAGAGUACGAGGUGGAUGCCUCGGCGCUCAAGACCGAUGAAGGACG